CCUACGGGAGGCAGCAGUGGGGAAUUUUGCGCAAUGGGGGCAACCCUGACGCAGCAACGCCGCGUGAGUGAUGAAGGCCUUCGGGUCGUAAAGCUCUGUCAGAGGGGAAGAAAUGCAGGUGGUGAACAACCAUUCUGUUUGACGGUACCCUCAAAGGAAGCACCGGCUAACUCCGUGCCAGCAGCCGCGGUAAUACGGAGGGUGCGAGCGUUGUUCGGAAUUAUUGGGCGUAAAGCGCGUGUAGGCGGUUUGUUAAGUCUGAGGUGAAAGCCCCGGGCUCAACCUGGGAAGUGCAUUGGAUACUGGCAGACUUGAGUACGGGAGAGGAGAGUGAAAUUCCCAGUGUAGGAGUGAAAUCCGUAGAUAUUGGGAGGAACACCGGUGGCGAAGGCGGCUCUCGGGGGUCAACCUGACGCUGAGGUGCGAAAGCGUGGGGAGCGAACCGGAUUAGAUACCCGGGUAGU
Molecule: ribosomal RNA, 464 nt
Filed under: uncultured Geobacteraceae bacterium
Lineage: Bacteria; Pseudomonadati; Thermodesulfobacteriota; Desulfuromonadia; Geobacterales; Geobacteraceae
Description: partial 16S ribosomal RNA
Rfam family: Bacterial small subunit ribosomal RNA
Source: RNAcentral